AGUGAACGCUGGCGGCGUGCUUAACACAUGCAAGUCGAACGAGAACGGGUUAUAGCUUGCUAUAAUUGUCAGCUAAGUGGCGCACGGGUGAGUAAUGUAUAGGUAAUAUGCCUCUUACUAAGGGAUAACAAAUGGAAACGUUUGCUAAUACCUUAUACUCCUUAUUAACAGAAGUUAAUAAGGGAAAGAUUUAUUGGUAAGAGAUUAGCCUGUAUUGUAUCAGUUAGUUGGUGGGGUAAUGGCUUACCAAGACUAUGACACAUAACUGGUUUGAGAGGAUGAUCAGUCACGCUGGGACUGAGACACGGUCCAGACUCCUACGGGAGGCAGCAGUGGGGAAUAUUGCACAAUGGACGAAAGUCUGAUGCAGCAACGCCGCGUGGAGGAUGACACAUUUCGGUGCGUAAACUCCUUUUAUAUGAGAAGAUAAUGACGGUAUUAUAUGAAUAAGCACCGGCUAACUCCGUGCCAGCCGCCGCCGUAA
This 484-nucleotide ribosomal RNA is filed under the name uncultured bacterium. RNAcentral's name for it is "partial 16S ribosomal RNA". It matches the Rfam family "Bacterial small subunit ribosomal RNA", at positions 29 to 523 of the family's 1533-position model. The record is from RNAcentral.